Long non-coding RNA from Papaver somniferum (opium poppy), 2509 nucleotides. RefSeq lists it as uncharacterized. The record is from RefSeq and is a predicted model, not a curated record. The transcript is spliced from 9 exons. Lineage: Eukaryota; Viridiplantae; Streptophyta; Magnoliopsida; Ranunculales; Papaveraceae.
CUCGUUAUCCUAAACUCAUCUCACUUUUUUUCUAUUUCUUUUUUUUCCUUACAGACGGCAAACACUAACCUCUCUCCAUCUUCAUCUCCUUCACGAAACCAGAAAUUGAACCUUUUCUUCAUCUACUCUAUCUCCUCCAGAAAACCAGAGGAAUGAAAAACCCCAUUUUCUGAACCGUGUUCAUCAUUAAAUAAACUCCGUACUCAACCUAUUCAUGACCUCUGAUCUCUCUAGAAACCCAAACUUUUCCAAUUUUAACCCUGAUAAUCGUUCAAUUCACCAGAUCUAUUCAAGGUCGUCUAUUGAUCAAUAACUGGUGUUGUUUUUUAACCAUUUGAAGAAGUUAAAAAAGAGCACAAAAUGAAAACCCUAACUGUUGUUGGAUUUUUUCGUGGUAUGGGUAAUUCUCAGUAUUACAUCUACAAACUGCUAAUUGCAGGCACAUCGGUAUGGACAUGUGGGAUAUGGCUCUGGAGAGAAGGGACAAAAAGUUGCUCGAGAAAUUGUAUAAUGAGAAGAUCUAUGGGUUUAGAACGGGGUGCUGGUUACUACACUGGAUAUUUAAACAAGUUCUGUUUGUAGCUUUUUGUGGUGAUGUGGUGGUGGUACUAGAUAUGGUGGUGGCAGAAUAUCUUUCGUCACUUAAAGCUCCAAGAAUGGAAGUGACUCCAAAGAUGUUAGAGUUCAUGAGAAAUCUAAGAAAGACAACAGAAGAGCUUGGGAAUGUGUUCACAAGCCCAAUAUGCACAUGGAUACUAAUAAAGUGGAAGAAGUCGAUAAUGAUGAGGUUUCAAGGGGGAAUGCCUUGGUAUAUGUUACAGAAAUUUCAAGUGGUGUUCUUCUAUGUCCUAAUAUAGCAACGCGGGGACUGACUCUCUUGGUGUGGAUUUGGACGUGCAGGUAUAUUUCAUCUGAUUUUUUAUUUUCUUCGGAACUCUAUAAAUGAGUUUUCUGAGCACUUCAUGUUGAGUUUUCUGAGCACUUCAUUGAUUUUAUAGUGACAUAUCUGAUUGUGUGUAAACUUGAUUACUUUGUUGUUUCUUUUAUUGGAAGUAACUGUAUAAACAGUACGUACCAAACAAUGAUGAAUGCAACUGAAAUGGUACAUAUAUGGACAGCAUGAAUCCAAAAUGCAUCUCCAUAGAUUGCUUUGCAAGUGCACUUGGAGCUUAGUACAUUAAGGAUGAAGAUUGUGAAGUGGCUGUACAGUUGGUGGUAAAAGCUGGCUAUCCGAAUGCCGAGGAGCUGGCACUCAAUGACUAGUUUCGCGUGAGACAUACCCUUGAGAUUAUCAUGUUAGGUUCAUUUUUUGGUGCUAGAGUUGUGAAUUAUUGCAGGUUAUCAGUCUUGUCGGUGCACAAAAUGCAUCCCUUCAUCCUGAUGAUGUAUUAUUACUAGAUGUCAGACUUGAUUGCUUUAUAUCAUGCAUAGGCGAAAUCAGUAAGGAUCUUGAUUGAAAGAUUACACUUUCUUCAAAGUGGAUUAUGACUUAGGAUACAUUUGUUAUAGCUUAUGCUUAAGCAUCACAUUUUUUAUAUAGUGUUUUUUGUUUUGCCAUCUGUUGUGAAUUGUAGAGUGUUUGAACAACUUGGGUUUCUAGUUCAAAUCUAUCUCAUGCUUUGUGGACCUUAGUUUAUCUUGACCUUAGUGCUCGUAUCUAGCAGUCACUUUAUAAGUUGGGCAAUCAUGGGGUUCGAGGGAAGUAUGUAACUGUGGCUCACAUCCUAAAAUUGCCUUAAAAAUAUACAUUUUAAGAUUCUAUUGUGGAUAAAUGUGAUUCUGGAUGUUAACUGCUACCGUGGAUUGAGCCUGAUUUUUUUUCCUUUUUUUCCUGGCAACACUUAUCAGAUCUAUUUAUCUGAAUAAGAAAUAAAAUAUCUUAUUUUCCCAUCUUUUGCCUAUUCCUUGAAGGCUGACGCCUUGGUUAUCUUGUAGGUUUGAAGUGGGUGAUAAUGAUUGGUUGAGUUUGCUGCUUGCUUGAAGCAGAAGGCAUACAAGGAAUUUAAAGAAUGAGAUGAAGAACUUUUUGGCUUGCAUAUGUCGACAUGGAAAUCCUUAACUUUGAAAAUGUUGACAACCCUAGCAAUGUCAUGGAGCUUAGAUUUUGGGCUUUUUACAAAGAUAAACAUUAGCAAGGACUGGCUGCAAGAGAAACCGGUGCAAUUGAAGAAGGAUAAUGUUGAAAAACAAGUGGAGGCUCUUACAUGGCAUUUGCAGUUGAUAGCUCUUGGCAUGUUCAAGGUGUUGCGUGUAAAAUGUUACUACUAAACUAUGGAGUAUUUUAGAAAAAAAUUGUUGAAACUUAGAACGUCGUCCUUAGCAACAAUCUGGAAAUAGAAGAUUGAACACCAUAUUACCAUAUGUGUUGUGAUACUUUUUAAAUCAAGUUGCUUUGGUAGUUUUGUCUGAGGAAGAUUCAGAUUUGGAUCAUGAGUGAUUCUGGUUUUUUUAAUUUGCAUAACAGAUUUUGUUUUUAAUAAAAUGCUAAUUCAAUUUUUUGUUCGCCAUA